Rhagoletis pomonella (apple maggot) is the source of this 1369-nucleotide long non-coding RNA. RefSeq lists it as uncharacterized. The record is from RefSeq and is a predicted model, not a curated record. Lineage: Eukaryota; Metazoa; Arthropoda; Insecta; Diptera; Tephritidae. The transcript has 2 exons.
AAUUUUCAAUUUUGUUUGCCGUAAUUUAUCGCUUACUGUAAGAAUAAACGAACAAAAAUAAGAAACAAAAACAAUACGCAUUACGAAUUGUGUGCUUCUCUCUAUAAACGUUGUUUUCUUCUCUUUUCCUCUCUGCUCUCUUUUCUUCGUCUCAUGCAGGUAUUUUUUGAUUUGAUGCGCGAAAUAAGAUCCCGCAAAACCGAAGAUUCAAAAGCGACUAGUGGGCGUGCUAAAGACAGAUGCAAGAAGCGGAGACUUAAGUGUACACUACUUUAGGCGUAUUUCUAGGUGCAUAAGCCAGACUUUAAGCCAAUAAUAAAAAAAAAUUAAACAAACAAAAAAAAAAAAAACAGAAAAAUGCGAAAACAAAAACAAAUACACUCAUAAACAAAUACAAUGGUAAAGAAGCGAACAAAGCAAAAUAAAAGCCCCUAACUCGUACUUUCCCCAUCCACAAAGACAUCACAUCGAAUUGAUAACAAUACCUAGCUGAUAUACAUAUGAAAUGUGUAACUACAGAAAUCCUAACCGAAAUAUGUACUGAGAAAAUCGUUUGUAGUAUUUUAUGAUCUAAUCAGGGAUAUUUCAUCACGAAAGAAGCAACGUCAGUCCGAUGUGCGACAGCCGCCAAAAACCAAAUCUCACUGCUGCCAACUGCUCUAAUAAUCAUGAGAGAGAAAUAAAAUCAAAACUGAAAAUUACAAAAAUGUAACGACGCCGCUGAAUACAAGCUAUAAAUGCCGAUAAUAACUAUGAAAAUGACGACGAAUGUAUAAAAAAAAAACAAUACUAUAUACAAAAAACUACAGUCCUGCAGGAAGAGAAAGAAGAACUUUUGAAAAAAAAAACGAAGAUAAAAAUGCUAUGCGAAAUAUGCGCGAGCGCAUCGCGGACAAGCUGUUGCAUAGAAAAGCAAAAACAACUCAAUUUAUGCAUAGAUUUGUAAAAAAAGAAACUCUGAAGCACAUAUAUGUACAUGCGACUGUAUUUGUAGGAGAAAAAGCAAUUACAUAUAAACCCAAUUCACGCAUUGUAUUGUAUUGCAUUCAAAAUAAGAAAAAAAUGAAGAAACAACCAAAAUAUACUACAUACUUACAUAAACCUUGCAGACUUUAUUAAUCAUAUACCUAUAUAUACAGCAUAUGUAUUAUUAAAAAAACAAGCGCAUACAUACAUACAUACAUACAUACAUGCUUACUUACUUACAUCCGUACAUACCAAUUUCAAAUCAAUCUACAUAAGUUUCAAUUUGUAUUGUAAAUUAAGCUUAAGCCGAACACAAUAUGUUUUAUAGACAUAGUACAUACAUGCCUAUGUUUUACGUGUAUUGUGUACAGAAAUAAACUGCUCUUUUCAAUUGUAAAAAAAA